Molecule: small RNA, 667 nt
Filed under: Pongo abelii (Sumatran orangutan)
Lineage: Eukaryota; Metazoa; Chordata; Mammalia; Primates; Hominidae
Description: retained intron
Source: RNAcentral
GUGAAGACAUGAGAUCCAACUCUGAGCUCACCCUGUGCUAAAUGGAUAAUGCCAGUACUCUCUUGUGGAAGGUAUUACCAGAGCAAGGGAUGUAGUUGUGAUCAUUUUCUCCUUGAUAAUGUAGUUCUGGUCAUUUUUUCCUUGAUAGGUGAUUGAAGCCUCCGAUGUUGUCCUAGAGGUGUUGGAUGCCAGAGAUCCUCUUGGUUGCAGAUGUCCUCAGGUAGAAGAGGCCAUUGUCCAGAGUGGACAGAAAAAGCUGGUACUUAUAUUAAAUAAAUCAGAUCUGGUACCAAAGGAGAAUUUGGAGAGCUGGCUAAAUUAUUUGAAGAAAGAAUUGCCAACAGUGGUGUUCAGAGCCUCAACAAAACCAAAGGAUAAAGGGAAGAUAACCAAGCGUGUGAAGGCAAAGAAGAAUGCUGCUCCAUUCAGAAGUGAAGUCUGCUUUGGGAAAGAGGGCCUUUGGAAACUUCUUGGAGGUUUUCAGGAGACUUGCAGCAAAGCCAUUCAGGUUGGAGUAAUUGGUUUCCCAAAUGUGGGGAAAAGCAGCAUUAUCAAUAGCUUAAAACAAGAACAGAUGUGUAAUGUUGGUGUAUCCAUGGGGCUUACAAGGAGCAUGCAAGUUGUCCCCUUGGACAAACAGAUCACAAUCAUAGAUAGUCCGAGUUUC